Molecule: non-coding RNA, 108 nt
Organism: Acanthosepion pharaonis
Lineage: Eukaryota; Metazoa; Mollusca; Cephalopoda; Sepiida; Sepiidae
Source: the annotation of a GenBank genome assembly
GGCCAUAUCACAUCAAAACACUGGUUCUCGUAUGAUCAAUGAAGUUAAGCAAUGUUGAGCCUGAUCAGUACCUAGAUGGGUAACUGCUUGAGAAUACCAAGUACUGUA